AAACUUUCAACAACGGAUCUCUUGGCUCUGGCAUCGAUGAAAAACGCAUCGAAAUGCGAUUAGUAAUGUGAAUUGCACAAUUUAUUGAAUCAUCAAAUCUUUGAACGCACAUUGCGCCCCCCGGUAUUCCGAGGGGCUUGCCUGUUCCAGUGUC
This 154-nucleotide ribosomal RNA is filed under the name Podosphaera pannosa. Its description in RNAcentral is "5.8S ribosomal RNA". It matches the Rfam family "5.8S ribosomal RNA". From Rfam's summary of the family: 5.8S ribosomal RNA (5.8S rRNA) is a component of the large subunit of the eukaryotic ribosome. It is transcribed by RNA polymerase I as part of the 45S precursor that also contains 18S and 28S rRNA. The record is from RNAcentral. Lineage: Eukaryota; Fungi; Ascomycota; Leotiomycetes; Helotiales; Erysiphaceae.